AACGGUCUAUACCUGCGGUACCUGCGGAGGGAUCAUUACAAAUUAUGACGAACCUCGUGUUUCGCGAGGUUUUACGUCUAUUUUUAGUAUUUAAAACAUCCCACUCUUUUAAAAAAAAAAUUUAUCUAAUGAUAAAGUAAAAAAAGAUAACUUUUAGCAACGGAUCUCU
This 169-nucleotide unclassified non-coding RNA is filed under the name soil metagenome. RNAcentral describes it as "partial contains 5.8S ribosomal RNA, internal transcribed spacer 2, and large subunit ribosomal RNA". The record is from RNAcentral.